UUUUUUUUUUUUUUUGUGACAGGAGGGAGCAAAAGCUCAAAAGAAACUACAUUUUAACAGUUCUAGAAUAUCCCACACCAAAUUUAUCAUGGGAUAACCAAGGAAGGAGACUAGUGGGAGGUUGUUGAAACGCAUGUAGACCAAACGGAAGAGACCCGGCAAGAGUAGUAAGGCAGUCCACUACAAAAUUACCCUCUCGCCAAAUAUGACUAACAUGGACCACCCAAUCAGAUUGAAGAAGAGAUUUGAUAGCCAUAACUAAAGAGAUGGCGUUUCUAGGAGGAUCAGUCACACCUAAACCAUCUGAACCACUAGUAAAUUGUCACAUUCAACUAGCAUUUGCUGGAUUCCUAACUGUUCGGCCAGAUUCAAACCUUCAAGCAAAGCCCACAGUUCAGCAUGUAAAACAAAACAUCUUCAGAGAUUCACUGCAAGACUAGAAAGCCAAUUUCCAUUAUAAUCUCGAAUGAGAGCACCAGCAGUAGCAAGAUUAUCCGAGCUUUUCAUAGAACCAUCACAAUUUAAUUUCCACCAUCCCAUUGAAGGAGGAGACCAGCAAACCCAUUUAUACUCUAUCCGAAAGGGACUAACAAUCCCAUCACCCAACAACCCAAUGGAGUUAGUCACAUUAGCGGCAUAAUUCAGAACUUCAUAAAGGAGUGAAUCCAUGGACACAGACAUAUCACGAAAUAGGAAAAGAUUACGUCUAUUCCAGAGUUUCCAAGUAGCAAUUCCAAAAAGAAGGGGCCAAGAACGACCAUUGCUAACAAUCAGAUGACGGCUAAGAUUAUAAGCAGCCCAGUCUUUAGUCGCCAUGCGAGUAAAAAACUGGUUAAUAUCACCUGAAGGCAAGAAACCGGAAUAAAAAGCAAAGGCAAAAUUACAAUCACGAACCGCAUGUAAUGAAGAUUCAUCCCACCUAAAACACAUCAUGCAAUCACCACUUGGAGCAAAAUGACGGCGAUUCCUUUCAGCGUUGGUAAGCAAACAAUCAUGAGCAAGCAACCAAAGAAAGGACUGAACUCUGUGGGGACCCUUCCAGCCCCAAAUUCUCCACCAGUAGAUAUUAGAAGAGAGAUUAACUGCUGCUAAAUAAUUAUAACCAGUUUUCACAGAAUACACUCCUGAAGAAGAAAAUCCCCAAUAAAACUCAUCUUCGCCAAGGGCAGCAUUAGGAGCUAAAAUAGCUACAAUGGCUAAAAUAACAUGUGAAGGGAGAUGGGAACUAAAUUUCUACCAAUCCCAGGAACACUCAUCAGUGACAAAAUCCUUAAUUUUACUUUCCUGUAAAGCAAGAGGAACUGGAGAGGUCGUUACUUCUAGAAGACAAUUUUCACCCCGAACCGAAAAACGAAUCCGUUGCCCAUUCCCAACAGUCCAAGCUACACCUGAAAGAAUAUAGUGCCAAGUUUCACAAAUCCCAGGCCAGAGAACUGAACUACUAGCCUUAGGUUUGUGUGGAUAGGGUGAGGGAAGUGUAAUUAAUGAAAGGAUAAGAGAGGAUAAGGAAGGGGAAGGGUGAAGAUAGUUACAAUAAAAAAUAUCUCUUAUUUGGAAAGAGGUGAAUUAAUAGAAAGGUAAAGAAAGGUAAUGUAUAUUCUUCAUGUUUGGAAAGAGGUGAA
This 1622-nucleotide unclassified non-coding RNA is filed under the name Hevea brasiliensis (rubber tree). Lineage: Eukaryota; Viridiplantae; Streptophyta; Magnoliopsida; Malpighiales; Euphorbiaceae. The record is from RNAcentral.